UUAGAGUUUGAUCCUGGCUCAGGAUGAACGCUAGCGGCAGGCCUAAUACAUGCAAGUCGGACGGUAAACGCCCCUUCGGGGGUGUGAGAGUGGCGCACGGGUGCGUAACGCGUAUGCAACCAGCCCCCGUCAGGCGGAUAGCCGGUGGAAACGCCGGAUAAUACGCCAUGCGCCCGUUGGGGGGCAUCCCCCAGCGGGCAAAGCGGAGACGCGGAGGGGGACGGGCAUGCGUGCCAUUAGCUUGUUGGCGGGGCGACGGCCCACCAAGGCGACGAUGGCUAGGGGAUCUGAGAGGACGGUCCCCCACACUGGUACUGAGACACGGACCAGACUCCUGCGGGAGGCAGCAGUAAGGGAUAUUGGGCAAUGGGGGGAACCCUGACCCAGCCAUGCCGCGUGAGGGAAGUAGGCCCUACGGGUCGUGAACCUCUUUUAUUCGGGGACAAGGGCGCGGUCGCGAACCGUGCUUGAGGGUACCGAAGGAAUAAGCGUCGGCUAACUCCGUGCCAGCAGCCGCGGUAAUACGGAGGACGCGAGCGUUAUCCGGAUUCAUUGGGUUUAAAGGGUGCGCAGGCGGCCUGUCAAGUCAGCGGUGAAAGCCCGGGGCCCAACCCCGGAAGUGCCGUUGAUACUGUCGGGCUGGAAUGCGGUCGAGGCGGGCGGAAUGUGGCGUGUAGCGGUGAAAUGCGUAGAUAUGCCACAGAACGCCGAUAGCGGAGGCAGCUCGCCAGGCCUGCAUUGACGCUCGGGCACGAAAGCGUGGGGAUCGAAGCAGGAUUAGAUACCCUGGUAGUCCACGCCGUAAACGAUGGGCGCUCGUCGUCGGCGAUAGAAUGUCGGCGGCCAAGCGAAAGCGAUAAGCGCCCCACCUGGGGAGUACGGUCGCAAGGCUGAAACUCAAAGGAAUUGACGGGGGCCCGCACAAGCGGUGGAGCAUGUGGUUUAAUUCGAUGAUACGCGAGGAACCUUACCCGGGCUUGAACUGCACCGGAACGAGGGAGAGAUCCCGAGGCCCGCAAGGGCUGGUGCAGAGGUGCUGCAUGGUUGUCGUCAGCUCGUGCCGUGAGGUGUCGGCUUAAGUGCCAUAACGAGCGCAACCCUUGCCAUUAGUUACCAGCAUGUAAUGAUGGGGACUCUAGUGGGACUGCCACCGUAAGGUGUGAGGAGGGGGGGGAUGACGUCAAAUCAGCACGGCCCUUACGUCCGGGGCGACACACGUGUUACAAUGGUGGGUACAGAGGGCAGCUACCUGGUGACAGGAUGCAAAUCUCGAAAACCCAUCUCAGUUCGGAUCGGAGUCUGCAACUCGACUCCGUGAAGUUGGAUUCGCUAGUAAUCGCGCAUCAGCCAUGGCGCGGUGAAUACGUUCCCGGGCCUUGCACACACCGCCCGUCA
Molecule: ribosomal RNA, 1395 nt
Filed under: uncultured bacterium
Lineage: Bacteria
Description: 16S ribosomal RNA
Rfam family: Bacterial small subunit ribosomal RNA
Source: RNAcentral